CUGUUCGUUAUAUCCACCUUUGUAGGAGCUAUGAGAUUGAUCACUGUUCGUUAUCUUCACCUUUAUAGGAGUUAUGAGAUUGAUCACUGUUCGCUAUCUUCUUUAUAGGAGUUAUGAGAUUGAUCACUGUUCGUUAUCUUCACCUUUAUAGGAGUUACGAGAUUGAUCACUGUUCGUUAUUGUCACCUUUCAUGCACCUCUCUUACACUACGCUGUUGAUUUUUAGGUCACCUGAGUAAACUCAAGUGACCUAAAACACUGUCAUGAUCGUGUGCAGGAUUGGACAAAACAAGAUGGCAGACGGCAUUUCCAAACAAAGGUAUCAAGCCCUAGAACUUCAUUCCAUGAGAUGGGUACACUUCGAAUGUGCGAAAUUGGUGGUGAGGAAUUCAAGACCAAUUCUGAAUUUCGUAGGCAUGUAAAAAGGAAACAUCAAUCAGAGAAAUUGUCUUCGUUUGUGACCAGUGCAACACACGCUUUUGCACAUUAUAAAAGAAACA
Ostrea edulis (European flat oyster) is the source of this 500-nucleotide long non-coding RNA. RefSeq lists it as uncharacterized. The record is from RefSeq and is a predicted model, not a curated record. NCBI's taxonomy places the organism in Eukaryota, Metazoa, Mollusca, Bivalvia, Ostreida, Ostreidae. The transcript has 2 exons.